CAACCUGAGAGUUUGAUCCUGGCUCAGAACGAACGCUGGCGGCAUGCUUAACACAUGCAAGUCGAACGAGAAGCUACCUUCGGGUAGUGGAAAGUGGCGCACGGGUGAGUAACGCGUGGGAACCUACCCUGAGGUUCGGAAUAACGGCUGGAAACGGCCGCUAAUACCGGAUACGCCCUGAGGGGGAAAGAUUUAUUGCCUUGGGAGGGGCCCGCGUCCGAUUAGCUUGUUGGUGUGGUAAUGGCGCACCAAGGCUGCGAUCGGUAGCUGGUCUGAGAGGAUGAUCAGCCACACUG
This 296-nucleotide ribosomal RNA is filed under the name Gammaproteobacteria bacterium. RNAcentral describes it as "partial 16S ribosomal RNA". It matches the Rfam family "Bacterial small subunit ribosomal RNA", at positions 1 to 315 of the family's 1533-position model. The record is from RNAcentral. Lineage: Bacteria; Pseudomonadati; Pseudomonadota; Gammaproteobacteria.